AGACAUGCAGAAAGGCUGGUUGUCAUUUGCAUAAAAUUUGCAUAUCCCCCAUGACUGUUUGGAAUGUCAAGAGGCCAAAUUAACCAGUGUUCUGUUUUUACCCAGAUUUGCAUCUCAUUUGCAUCCGGCUUGCUUAACGUGGGUUACUUAGCCAAGUGACCCUACGGAACUCCUCGCCGCGCCCGAGAGGCGGCAGUUGGCGAGAUGGGCUAAUUUCAUUAAGAGGGAAUCCGUUCGGCGAAGCUGUGGCCUCUGGUUGUGGCUCGUGGAUAGGGGACGGCUGCACGCAAGCUGCUGCUCGUCAGAGUGUUUUUCUGCAUGCAUAUGCGCCUUGUGUCAUAUUUACUGUAAGGAUGAAAGAUUAGGCGCAGAGGGGGUGGUGUGCAGCAUCCAUCUCACUCAGGAUCUCAGAGUGAGCACAUCCAUCAUCCCAUCUUGGGCACCAGGCUCGCCUGUGUGUGUGUGUGUGUGUGUGUGGGUGGGUGUUCGUGUGGGUGUGGGUGGAACAGUGCGUUUUGUUUAUCAAGUCCGGGCACACAACACCACACGCAAUGGAGGGACAGAAGGAAACACAAUGUGUGUCCUUUGCUGGGCCCAAGGCCCUGUGAGAGAGAGAGAGAGAGAGAGAGAGAGAGAGAGAGAGAGAGAGAGAGAGAGAGAGAGAGAGAGAGAGAGAGAGAGGCGGCUCACAACGUCACCUCAGCUCAGGACAUCGAUAGGGAAGGGAUUAAAGAGCAGGAGAGAAAAUGUACGAGGAUUUCGGCCCGAUGGAAAUCAAUGAGGUGCCCUAUUACAGUGCAAGCCACUUACUCCACGCAGACACACACACACAGACACACACAGACACACACACACACACACACACACACACACACACACACACACAGAGCUCUUAAGCCUCUGUCUGCAUCUGCUACCGAAGGCGUUAAUAUCGUUCCUAAUGAGAGGAGAACAGAUUAAUAAAGCAUACUAUAAAUGAUUACUUCCGCCAUUAGUCCAUC
This 1001-nucleotide long non-coding RNA is filed under the name Gadus morhua (Atlantic cod). Its description in RNAcentral is "lncRNA (ENSGMOG00000026979.1)". Lineage: Eukaryota; Metazoa; Chordata; Actinopteri; Gadiformes; Gadidae. The record is from RNAcentral.